This 253-nucleotide ribosomal RNA is filed under the name uncultured bacterium. RNAcentral describes it as "partial 16S ribosomal RNA". It matches the Rfam family "Bacterial small subunit ribosomal RNA", at positions 524 to 776 of the family's 1533-position model. The record is from RNAcentral.
UACAGGGGGGGCAAGCGUUGUUCGGAAUUACUGGGCGUAAAGGGCUCGUAGGUGGCCAACUAAGUCAGACGUGAAAUCCCUCGGCUUAACCGGGGAACUGCGUCUGAUACUGGAUGGCUAGAGUUUGGGAGAGGGAUGCGGAAUUCCAGGUGUAGCGGUGAAAUGCGUAGAUAUCUGGAGGAACACCGGUGGCGAAGGCGGCAUCCUGGACCAACACUGACGCUGAGGAGCGAAAGCCAGGGGAGCAAACGGG